Molecule: long non-coding RNA, 435 nt
Filed under: Mus caroli (Ryukyu mouse)
Lineage: Eukaryota; Metazoa; Chordata; Mammalia; Rodentia; Muridae
Description: lncRNA (MGP_CAROLIEiJ_G0006109.1)
Source: RNAcentral
CCACUCGGUCCUCCUUUUGUUAGCGCUCUGGCUUCCAUCAGGUCUACGCCUGCUCCCGUGCAAUCCGGCGCCAUCGCGCUUUGGGCGAGCAUGGCAAUGGGGAGUUGAGAGGUGGGAACCGAGCUGACGCCUGCCUGGCCCUGGCGAUGGUGGUGUGCGCCGGGAAAGGACUGAUUGGAGAAUGGUGCCUAAAGGGAUGCCGAGGGGACGCAGGAGCUCUCGGUGUGACCUGGCGCUGUGGAUGUAAUACACAUCAGCUUGAGUGGGGCUGCUCCGCUGUCCUCAUGAGAGAACCCUUUUUCUGAAGAUGGGAGGUGGCUAAUGAAAGAAGGUGAGGUGUCUCGUGCCCUUGCUGUCCUCCUGUGCUGUGGGAGCUGCACGGGUACGGAAACUUAGGGCCGGCAGAUCUUUGUUUGAGUUUGGGAAUAGGGCAUC